Brassica rapa (field mustard) is the source of this 932-nucleotide long non-coding RNA. RefSeq lists it as uncharacterized. The record is from RefSeq and is a predicted model, not a curated record. NCBI's taxonomy places the organism in Eukaryota, Viridiplantae, Streptophyta, Magnoliopsida, Brassicales, Brassicaceae.
GUUCUUCGGUACAGGCCGUCAUGGGAAGUUGUGACAGACGCGGCUUUAAUGCCACCUCCGGUUCCUCUGACCCUUCUUGUUUUAAGGGGUUUGUUGUCGAUAUCUGUGGCGACAGAGGUUGGUUUAAAACGACUGGUCGUCCUCCGGACGAGAAAGAUAUAUUACUCAGCUCAGAGAUCUUCGAUGGAUUCCCCUGCAAAUACAAUGGAUAGUUCCGAUAAGGGGUGCCGGUUGAUUUUGGAGACAAACUCUAGAAAGCGCUCUGCUCCUAGUUCCAGAAUCGGGAUCUCGUUGUCUUCAAAAGGCCUGGGCGGACGAUGGGCCGAGCUCUCGACCUUCUGCGUCGGAAGGGCGAGUAUGCUUUUUCCUUCGAGUUUUUAGACAACACUCAUCUUGCUAAUGAUGGGAAAGCUUGCUCGCGUCUCCAUUGUGAGAUCCGCCUCGCUGGUGAUCUUAGUUUUUCAGAGCAGAUAUUUGUUGGGAAUGACAUUUACGAAAGUGUAUACCGAUAUAAUGUUUUGUUUAUUUGUUGCAUAUGGGCUGGGUGAUUCGCAACCUGGCAUUCUACGAGUACAAGAUCUGAGAGGUUCGAGUUAAGGUCGUCAUUGCGGAGAAAGAAGCCCUUCAAUGUAAAGAUGCAUUGAAGGCGGAGCAAGCCAAAACCCAGAAAGUGCUCGUGCUAGGACUUUGUUAAGUUAGUUUUUGCAUUGUGCUAGGGAAACGGCUUAUUCAUGACCACACUACGAAGGCGGAGAAAAUACAUACCCAAACUAUAUUAACGUGCCAAAAUAUUCCCAAACUAUAUAAAAAUUCGAAUUGCUUACCUAAACUCACAAUAAAUAACUAAAACAUGCCUCAUAACUGACACAUGUCAGUCCUUUCUAAAAUGUGUUGAUUUAUUUUUUUUAAUUAUUAUAUUUUAUUCUUUAUCA